Pezoporus occidentalis (night parrot) is the source of this 499-nucleotide long non-coding RNA. RefSeq lists it as uncharacterized. NCBI's taxonomy places the organism in Eukaryota, Metazoa, Chordata, Aves, Psittaciformes, Psittacidae. The transcript is spliced from 3 exons. The record is from RefSeq and is a predicted model, not a curated record.
CAUACUUCGAGACCCAUGUACCUCAAAGCUGCACUUCGGCCCUGGGAUGAAAACAGCACGCAGACAGCAGGGCAUCACCCGCAUUUAAGGGACACAGGGAAGUAGAGCUGAGCUUUGCCUUCUAAGUCAUAGUCAGGAGCACAAAUGGACAUUGAAACAAGCAGGCACAACAAUGGGCACAUGGGCCUGACACACAGGUUUCUGCUCGAUGCCACCUCUGGCAAGCACUGGGGAUACAAACGGAGAGAUCCUUCACCCUCCAAAGCCAAUGACAUUGAGCAAGAGCAACUUGUAAAUUGCUUCCAGCCACUUCGAGACAACAAGGGAACAAACAACUAUCAACAAGUAUUACCCUCGUUGCUUCACACGAAAGCACUUAUGAGACUGAAGGGAUCCUGACAGGCAACUGGAAAGUAUUUCUUUUUAUGCUAAAUUUAUUAUAUUUAAGACCAAUUUUCCAUGAUUUAAAAUGUGCUAUGUAAUAAAGGGCUGGAAUGCC